This 74-nucleotide transfer RNA is filed under the name Halogranum tailed virus 1. RNAcentral's name for it is "Halovirus HGTV-1 tRNA". It matches the Rfam family "tRNA". From Rfam's summary of the family: Transfer RNA (tRNA) molecules are approximately 80 nucleotides in length. Their secondary structure includes four short double-helical elements and three loops (D, anti-codon, and T loops). The record is from Rfam by way of RNAcentral. Lineage: Duplodnaviria; Heunggongvirae; Uroviricota; Caudoviricetes; Thumleimavirales; Halomagnusviridae.
GGGUCGAUAGGAUAAUUUGGGAAUCCACCUGUUUGAAGAACAGGCGCAUCUCGGUUCAAAUCCGGGUCGGCCCA